Long non-coding RNA from Molossus molossus (Pallas's mastiff bat), 3813 nucleotides. RefSeq lists it as uncharacterized. The transcript has 3 exons. The record is from RefSeq and is a predicted model, not a curated record. Lineage: Eukaryota; Metazoa; Chordata; Mammalia; Chiroptera; Molossidae.
CACCCGCCGGCUCCCUGACUGCAGAGCCUGCCUGCUGUCGGCGUUUUGUCGGGCGCUUCGAACGGUUCCAAGCUCAGGCUGUCUUUCACCGCGGGAGGUGGAAAUCCGUGUGUCCUGGGUGAUGACAGCAGCGUGGGCAGGAAUUCUGUGAAGUUACGUCCCUGCAUCGGGAAGCAGAUGCCUGUGUGCGCGACGUUGUCACUCUGGCGAGAGUGUGUCCAUUACGACAGCCUUGGGGAUAAGACCCAAUGACGGUUAACACCCUUUGUGAAGACGUUGGAGAGAAGGAAGGUGGGUAUCUGGGCUCCCAGCAAGGUAAGAAGCCCGAGGAGCCCAGAUCCCCGUCAGUGAUAUCAGAGCAACACUGGCCGGUGCAGCCAAGUCCCAGCCGUGGCAGAGACGCUCUAGUGAGAAUGACUGUUGUUCUCACUACCGAGGUUGGGGUGGCGGUCACCCCUGCUGGCUGCUGGCACACGAAACAGGCAGUGAGGCUUCUCUGGGCGCUGAGACUGGGACGGGAGAGGGUCAUUCACACCUGGCGGCGGGGACAGGGUUUGUUACAGGCAUGAGAUUCUAGAUACCUACCUGUGAGGGGCCAUUUUAGAGGUGUAUUAGUGGCCCUGGGGUGCUGUAGCAGAUUGCCACAAGCGCAGUGGCUUAACACAGCGAUGUUCUGUCGCAGUUCUGGGUGCCGGGAGCCCCAAGUCCGACCCUCUGGGUUGGAGUCUGGGACUUGAGGCUGGAGGCUUCUGCAGGCUCCGGCGCAAACUGGGUGCCUCGUGUUUUCGAGCUUCUACUGGCGUCGGGAGUGAAUAUUUGGGUUGGAGGGAAUGGAAAAAGGGCCGUCACCCCCACCCUGCCGAGAUGCUGGGACCCUGAGGGCACUGGCUGCCGGAGGAAUGGGGAGCCCACCUGCCUCCUGCAGACAGCACAGGGCAGGUGGAGGGUUAGGGUUAGGGUUAGGGUUAGGGUUGGUCCCCAGAGGGCGAGGUCCCUGGAGGAAGGCUCUGUGGCCUCCCCUGGGUGCUUUCUCUGUGCCUGACUCGUCGAGACUGCUCCCUGAGCCGUAGGGAGCGAGUCAGACACCUUGACAAAUAACCUCUUUGUCCCCCCUGCUCCUUGCUGCCACUUGUUUGGGGAAAUAAAAGGUAAGUUGAAAAUGCCCGUUUUCCAUUUUCAUCUCUAAUUGAAUUUUGUCCUGACCUCUCGGUUCCCCACAGCGGUGUCUCGGGCUUUGAUGAUGAGGAAAAGAAUUCCGUAUUUGGAUAAUAAAACUCCCUCACGUGCCUUCAGCCACCUUCAACUCAAUUUCCUGUCCCCGGAGACAGUGUAUAUUAUAGGAUAGAAUCAGAUUCCUUAUUCAUAGGGAAAAAGCUCCAAUUGAAUCUGAAUAUUCAGCACUCUGCACUGGUCAGGGUGAUGGAUGGCGUAUGGAAAUGCUUCUAGUCCACGCAAUCAAAUGGCAGGAUGCACUCAGGUAUUGGAAGGAAUAAUGAAGUCUAUUCAAUAUUCCCAUAAAGUGCAGAAAUGCACAUUACAGCAGGAGACCCAUGUUCUUAUUACCUUCCCCAUAACAGCUCCAUCGCCACAAAAAGGGGGGGGGGGUGUCACAAAUUACAGAUUAAUGUAGGUGAGCAUGUAAAAUGCAACAGCAACACAGAGCAGAGGUGGGGGCUGAUGCCACGGUGCACGCGGACGAAUGUGGUUGCAGGGGAGCUGAGCUCCUGGUUAGACGUGAGGAGAGGCUGGGGUCCUGGGAGACAGCCCUGCGUUUCCUAGGAAGGAUUUAGGGAGAGGUGCAGAUGAGCCCUGCUGAGGUGAUGGAGUCCAUCUGUCCCGCAGACACCACGCAGGGCCAGUGGGGGCGGGUUAGCGUUAGGAGCUCAAACCCUCGGGUUGCGAACAUGGGUCCUGGGUCUGCAGGAGCUUCCUGAGGUCCCUGGGGAAGCCUGGCGUGGCCUCCCAUGGUGCUUUCCCUGCGCCCUUCACUCAUCGCGACUGCUUCUGCCUGAAGUCGUGCUUCCCCAGUGCCUGCUCUCACUGAUCUCAAAUACAUAUCUGUGGCCUCUCACUUGGAAAGCCUGUUACUGUUAGGUGAGCAGGCAGAGGACAGAAAGGCACAUACAGGGCUUUGCAGACAGGGUGAGUGAAGGGCCUGAGCGGAGGCUGUCCUGGGUCAGGGGGGCCUCCGUCCCAUGACAGGUCCUUGGAAGAGACAGAAGAGGAGACACAGACACAGGGGAGAAGCCCCGUGGGGACAGAGGAGAGACGGGAGGGACGGGCCCCCCGCCCAGGGACGCCUGGAGCCCAGGAGCCGGAAGAGGCCGGAAGGGCCCUCUCUGAAGCCUCGGAGGGAGCGCGGUCCUGGACACCCCGUCUCCGACGUCUGGUCUCCAGGACGGGGAGGGUGAAUUUCUGUUGUCCAAGCCCCCGCUGUAGGCUCCUUUGUCACGGGAUUUGGGGCAGUGGCAGUGGGAACGUGGGGAUGUGUCCUCCCGGCUGCUGUGUGUGAGCAGAACUCCAGGGUGACGCUCUUCAACUGCACAGUGAAGUGUCUGCUGACAAGGUGGUCAGACAAGGCUGCCCUGGACACUGGUGCUCUCGUCACCACAGUCCCCAAGGCUCGAGGACACCCGAUCCUGUGUGCUGCGUCUCUGGGGGAGCUGGUGGACGGGUCGCCGUGCAGGGGCAGCUGGAUGGAGGUCUGGCUGUGACAGCCGCCCCCGGGAAAUUUCCAAGGCUCCAGUGGGUGCCCCCGAGCUGCAGCAGCAGGUCUCAGGAAGUGACGGCCACGCAAGGCAUGAAGGGCGCCUUGCCGUCUGGCUCCAGAAUCCCAAGGAUGUCGUUAAGCCUGAGUCCCCAGCGUGGAGCCCCGCCAGGCACUCCUGGGGCAGAGACAUGCUGUCUUGUUGGCAGAACACAGACCUCUUCUGGGUCCUGCAGACGAGGUGUGUGGCAUCGUCCACACUGCACCAGGCAGAGGCUCCCGUGUGGGACCAGACGGGCUUGGGUGCUGCGAGCCAGUGAGCGGCCCUUCUGUGCACAUUCUCCUCUGGUGACAGGAUGCCUCCGCUCCAGGCGUCGGUGGCCUGUGUACGCGUUCACGUACACGCAAACUCCUAACCCCUUCAGUGAUGCACACGCUUCGGACACACACUUGUCCCUCCACAGGUGCUGAGCGUUUCUGUGAGUCGCUAUUUUUCUGAGGACGGGGAGUGUGGCAGAACCAGCACUGGGUCACGGGAAGAGGAUGUUGUUAACAUCAGGUUCCUUUCUGACCCACUUUAAACCCAAACCUGAUCACGAUGCCCAAUCAAUUUAAGUUGGGUCUGCAAAGCCACUGGGGUGGGUGCCACCCAAGUCCUUGAGAAGUGACUCAGACACCGAGGAUGGGUUUCCUUCCAGACACGGGGAUGAAAGAGAUACAGGUGCUAGACAGACAGGUUGACAGACAGACAGAUUAACCAAUAGAUCGAUGGAUGGUAGACAGGCAGAUACGUGAUACAUAGAGGGAGGAAGGCUUGAUUGAUAAUCAAGAUGACAAAUAAUACAUAGGUCCAUGGACAGAGCAUAAAUACAUAAUAGGUAGAUACAUGGACAGAUUAUAGAUCACAGAUGAUAGAUGAUACGUGGAUGGUAGAUGACACAGAUGAAUGAUCGAUAAGUGGAAUCGUGAUUAUAUACCAUAUUACCACAUCCAUACAUUGUAUAUGCAUAUAUCUUAUGUAACAAAAUUGCGUAUUACAUGUGUAUACCUAUCAAGUAACUAUAACAUUAUUUGCUUAAUGUAACAGUAUGGUCUGCCAGUGUAUA